CCACAUUCAUUCGAAAACAAUAUUUUGUGCCGGUAACAUCGCUAGAAUAAUUUUAACAUUAAUAUUUUUUACAAUUAUAUUUAUGUUACCUUUGCACUUUAAACGCGCUUUUACUUUUAUUUAUUUUAUACUAACAAAUUACGCAUAACAUUUAAAAUUUUAACCAAAAUAACGUGUUCCUAAAAAAUUAGCAACGUGUAGAUGACGCUAUAAAGAGUAUACAUAUAUUCUUGAUCAGUGCCGAGGCGAUAUAGCCAUGUCCGUCUGUCUGUCGGAUAAAAGAUGAGGACGAUAUCAAAGUCAACGGUGACGAUGCGGGAUGUUUUGAAAGCGAUCUAUUACUAAUUGCUGCCAAAAAUGACGUAAAGUGGAUAGAAAUGAUUUGGAUAAACAUGAAAAUAUUGUGAAAAGUCACAGAAAAAACAAACAAAAAUAUGCCGAAAGUAAGCUGAAAUUGGCGCAGAAAAGAUAAGAACUUGGCAAGCAAAAAUUGGAAGAGUUUCAAGCACAAUUGGAAAACCUGAAGGAGGAACACCACAAAGAAGUUGGUGAGCUGAAUAAGCAAGGGCGAACUUGAAACAGAAAAUGAGGCGAAAAUUAAAGAUAUUGUAAGCCAACAUUUAGCUUCUGCAGAAGAUGAAUAUUGGCUUACAAAAUCUUUAAUUUGCGCCUUAUUUUCCGCUUUGAUUCCGCUGGUGGAACUGGUGACCUUCAAGCAGACAAUGCAGAGGAAGCUGGAUACACUGCUCAAGGAGAAAGGAGCUUGGCAAUCGCAAACGCUUCUAAAGGACAAACACUCGUAUGAACUGCAGCGUGACAGAGAUCAAAGAUUUGUUAAACAGCAGAAGGCGAACAGCAACUCGACGAAUCGUUUUGCUAAACGAUUAUUUAUUAGAAUAUUUUACGAGAACAUUUUUUUUGCUUCCUCAAAUUUUAACAACGUUGUAAUUUACCGAGUUUUUAUGCGCAUCCUUUUUUGCGUCUUCUUCAAUUCGUUUC
Long non-coding RNA from Drosophila albomicans, 999 nucleotides. RefSeq lists it as uncharacterized. The transcript is spliced from 3 exons. Lineage: Eukaryota; Metazoa; Arthropoda; Insecta; Diptera; Drosophilidae. The record is from RefSeq and is a predicted model, not a curated record.